This 433-nucleotide ribosomal RNA is filed under the name Vigna trilobata. RNAcentral's name for it is "eukaryotic LSU rRNA". The stretch from base 282 to 433 matches the Rfam family "Eukaryotic large subunit ribosomal RNA", at positions 1 to 152 of the family's 3401-position model. The record is from RNAcentral. Lineage: Eukaryota; Viridiplantae; Streptophyta; Magnoliopsida; Fabales; Fabaceae.
ACUCGAGUCUUUGACGCAAGUUGCGCCCAAAGCCAUUAGGCCGAGGGCACGCCUGCCUGGGUGUCACACAUCGUCAUCCCCAUGCAAAUGCGCAUUGGGGUGAAAGUUGGCCUCCCGCGAAACAUUUGUUGUGGUUGGUCGAAAACCAAGGUAAUGUCGGGGUCCCCCCGCGAGAAACGGUGGAUGAGCAACGCUCGAGACCAACGGCGGUGGCGGACACUCGGUACACCAAUUGGUGGGCCCUAUUGUGUUUUUGGAAAAAAUCAAAGACGCUCAUAAAGAGACCUCAGGUCAGGCGGGGCUACCCGCUGAGUUUAAGCAUAUCAAUAAGCGGAGGAAAAGAAACUAACAAGGAUUCCCUUAGUAACGGCGAGCGAACCGGGAACAGCCCACCAUGAGAAUCGGUCGCCUCUGGCGUUCGAAUUGUAGUCUG